ACCCACAAUCACCCACCCUCAAGUAAAGCCCGUCAGUGCCUUCACAAAGUCUCUCCCUUGUUGUUCUCCUUGGGGUCACAAAUAGUCAUUGUUUGUACAAGCUCUUCUCAGUUCACCCUACCGAAGCAGCUUUGGAAUCCUGCUUUCAUCCUACAUCCCACCCAGGGAAUCACACUGACUGCCAUCAGCGUGGUCUUGAUGCUGAUGAGCUGCCUGUGCUUCACAAUGCAUAGCUGAUGCUUACACUAAGCUGGCUGCAGGCACCAGGAAUUAAGCACUGACUACAAAGCUCUGCACACAGUAG
Ornithorhynchus anatinus (platypus) is the source of this 304-nucleotide long non-coding RNA. RefSeq lists it as uncharacterized. Lineage: Eukaryota; Metazoa; Chordata; Mammalia; Monotremata; Ornithorhynchidae. The transcript is spliced from 4 exons. The record is from RefSeq and is a predicted model, not a curated record.